Long non-coding RNA from Drosophila elegans, 7179 nucleotides. RefSeq lists it as uncharacterized. Lineage: Eukaryota; Metazoa; Arthropoda; Insecta; Diptera; Drosophilidae. The record is from RefSeq and is a predicted model, not a curated record. The transcript is spliced from 2 exons.
UUUUAGUGAUUCUGAAGUUAUGAUUUAAUUUUAUUUAAGUUUAAGUUCAUAUAUGAGUAAGAACUUUGCCAGUUACUCUUACAAUAUAAACUGUAUUUGUUUUUUCAUAGAAUAGUUUCUGUCACAUUUUUACUGCUUAAUUUUUUGCCAUUCCGGAAUAUCUCUCGUCCGGAAGUUGACACAAUUUCGACCUUGAGCACGGCUCACUUCGCAGCGCCGUACCAGCGCGAUAACAACAAUAGCGGAUCGCAUAAAUUACAGCGCUGUUCCAUUAGCAUGUAAAUGCAGGCGCACCACCAGCCACGCCCCCAACCACUCGGUUUUUGCCCCACGCAAAAAGUAGAUGCGACAGUGACAACGCUCAUAUUUUACUCUGCACACAUUGCAUAUUUUAUUUAAUUUAUUGCCGCACAUAUUUUGAUGGCAAUGCAUGUGGACGGGGCACGUGUUUCGGUUGGUUUGAAUUGGAUUGGGACUGGAACCGCAAGCUUAGAUUGUGCUGUAUAGGAAUUGAAAGUGUGUCAGUUGGACGCAGUUGGGCUCGGGCAUGGUCAUGGCAUCCACAUACCCAUCCCGUGUUCGGCGCGUGUUGUUGUUUGUCCUGAUAUACAUUUCAAACGCUCGACAAACAGUGGUUAAAUAUAGGGGAAAAUAAAAUACAUAGAAAGAAGAGCAUGUAUGUAAUUAUUUGUAUUUUAUAUUAAACAAAAAAUAAAAUACCCCCUUUUUGUGUAAAAAGAUUUAGUAUUGUCAAAUUAAUGGAUCACACUUAAGCGGAUUAAUCCAUCAACUGAAACUACUUAAAAUUGCUCACCUACAGUCGUUUAUAGUUUUACAACAACAGAUAAAUAAUUUUGUAAUUUUACCCAAAUAAACUAGAAUUAAUUUAAUUUUCAUUUUUGCUACUUUUCCUACAGGUGGCAAAUCAUAUAAUUUUGCAUUUAAGUCUUAAGAAAGUUUAGGCGGAAUUUUUUGACUUUAAAUUCUUAAAUUACUUAAUUUCUUUGUGUGUACCUUGCGCUGUUAUCGCUCAACAGUCGACGAAACAAUUUAAAUGACAUCUGAACAAUGUUUUGCCACUGUUCGGCCACAGUGUUUUGCGAUUUAUUUUUGUUGCUGUAGGGUUUCGCUCGCUGGCCAUAUAUUUCAAAGAAACGACAGCCGUGGGAGCCAUGCAAAUGACCCAUUCCAACAAAGCUAGCCAAUUGGUCACUUGAUACACAUUUCGACUCGUUCGUUCGCCACCACAACUCCAUUUUCUUCCUGGAUUGUCUGUCUUUUUUAUUUUUGUGCCGGCAAUGUUUGUCCAUUGCUUUAACUAAUUAAAAUGCUGUUUGGCCAGUGCCACUUGCAGCUGUCUCCUCGUCGUCAUAGUCAUCGUCGUCAUCAGAGUCAUCCACGCGACUUUGGCCAAGCCUACGUUGGCUUCUUGGCCGCCUUCUUCAAAGCCAAAGUCAGUUGGCAAACUCAGAGUUUGCUGGCCGGCCAGCACUUUGCAUAAUGCAAAAUAAAGUCCCAACGGUGGCUUGCAGUUGGUUUUCGUGCCGCCGCCGAAUGUGGGUUAAAUGCUUUUUGCGGCUUUUUGUAACCACAGCAGCACAGAGCGACUGAGUUAAAUUUCUUGCCCGGCUUUUGUUUGUCCAAUGGAAAUUUUCAAUUUGCCGCAAAAGUUUUUCAUUUAAUUUAAUUGAAACACUCAACAAAUUGCGAAUGCUAAUGCAAAUGAAAACGAUGAAAAAAAAAACACUACGGAAAAUUAAGAAAAUAAUGUUUCCGAGAGUGAUAAACUAAAAAUAAAGUCAAUUAUUUUGCAAUUAAGAGCAGUUGACUCUUUGCGGUGGUGGCACUACUAAAUGCAAUUGAGAGUGCAGAGUGGCGCCUGUGUGGGCGGUGGUUGGGGUCAAUUGGCGUGGCCAACUAAUAAGCUUUUGAGUCGUAAAAAGACUGGGAUACUCGAGUGCUGCCAUUAAUCUCGGCUAUUUGCGUUGAAUAGCCGCCGACGAACCUUAUCUCAACUCAGUACAAAAAGAAACCAUAUCAGUGCAUAUAAAUAAUUGAUGUAAACGCUUGCGGCCUGUUGGUUUUCCAUAUAGCGCUAAAUAAACAAAGGAAGUGCAUUACAAAUACGCCCUGCAGUGCGUCAUAUUUUUGGAAGCGUUGCCCGUUUAUCGUUGAUUUAAAUCGGUUUAUUUGUCAUUUCAAUUUGACCAUAAAAACAGACUCUUUUCUUUUUUCUGCUGGUCAGUGGGCGAUAUCGGGCUAACUGCAAUUUGAAUUGUAAAAGCCGCAAACGAGUUUGUUGCUCUCCGUUUGGCUGGUGAAUAAUAAAAUAGCCUGCGGAGAGACAGGCUGGUAAAUAAACUUGUUUGCUGCUAAAAACUGCUAAUAAUGACAAUCGAAUUUCCGCCUAGCAUCGAGCAGUUUAGUUGACUUAACUAUGUCAACCCGAUAAGAUUUGCAUUUGCAUCACAAAGAGGAGGCUGUCUCGUCUGUCAGUCAAUUAUUUGUGCUGACACUUUGUGCGGUUGGGAACUGCAUGGGUAAUUGGCAGGCCCGAACAUGGUUUGCUGCACACGUGGCGUAUGCGUAAUGCUUGUUGCCCACUGCAUGUUAAUGCGUUGGCAAACAGCAUUAACGCCAAAUCCGCGUUGAGAAUCGAGCGAAACAGACUUUGACCAUAGACACCGCAAAUACCCGAAACCCUCUGCACAACUUAAUGGCUACGAUUGGCGCUGCAGCAAUUUGCUGAUUUGGAGGUCCCAAUGCCAAAAAUGCCGCAUUUAAUUGCAGCACCCUGUGGCAUGGCUAGUGGUAGUGGUAAGCGCCAAAAUGCAGUGCUAAUAUUCUCAUAAUUGAAUUUUGUCGCUGUUAAGUGUGUGCUUUGCAACGGAAGCACCGGGCCUGAAUGAUGAAGAAAUCAGUCGGAAAAGAUAAGCGCUAAUAGAAGUGGAGUAAGCGUUCAAGAAUGCUUGACGUUUGAGUCAACAGAAAAGAGGAAUGGAAAUAAGAUUAUGACGGGAACAAUGAAAAGCUUGCGUUCAAAGAUUCCUUACUGAUUGGCCAUUGUUCUUGCCAGUUGCUAAGUAAGUUCUCAACAAACUUAUUCAAAGCUUUUUCGGCUUAUCGGUUUUGGUUUUGGCCAAGAAAAACAGAGAAGCCACUUGCCACCAACAAUUAGCCCAAGUCAUUGGCAUUUUCCGACAUUGUGGGUUCCGUUUUUAAGCCCCUCAGACGACAUAUGUGCAUAUAAUGCCGGUAAAACCUUGGUAAACAACAAACUGGCGCCAGACAACAGUUGCCCCUAGAAAUACGCACAGAGCAAUUCAUUCAUGGAACUUUUGGCCAGAUUGUUGUUCACGCUUCAUUUGGCUAUUAUUUUCUACCACGCUUCAUUUGCUGGCUUUUCUGUGCCUGCCGCUUUUGGCGUUUUGGGGCAGGCAGCAGCGCUAAUUAACAGUUGGUCCCAAAUCGCAUACAUUAACGUUGAUAUAUUUAUUGCCAUAAUUGUGCGCUGCCUGGCCAUAGUUAUAUAUAGAUUAAAGGCAUUUAACUAUAAGCUUCGAUUGCCUCACUUCUGUUGGAGGGGCAAACGAAAAACAAAACCAAAACAAAAAUAAAUAAAUAAAAAAGGCCAGAGCGAAAAGUAAUGAAUAAACAAUUUGAGUAUUGUGUGUACUUUGGAAUUAGCGUAGUGCAAAAUGUGAGGGGCUGUUUUGGCACAGAUUGCACAAUUUAAAGUCGCACCUUAGCACUUAAGUAAUAUAGCAAAAGCAGAGUUAGAUUUUAUUACACUAGUGAUUGGUGGUAUCCUGCGGCGAGGACAUGGUUUUGUAGCUAAUGAACAAAGAUUUCCCAAGCAUGGAGAGCCGAACAACUUCAUUGGGGCAAUAAAACAAAGCAAUUAAAAUGGCUGCCCGGAACCGGCAGACGUAUAUGGGUCAGGCUGGCAAAAGUUUUGGCCACUUGUCGGCCAGCUGGAGUGGUAGUGAAAGGCCAUUACAAUGCCAAUCGGCAAACUAAAGUGGCAGCUCCGCUAAUGCAACCGGGGAUGGGUAUGGGGAUGGCAAGUACUCUAAACUUUUAGUUGUGGAUGCAAUGGAGGUUGCACAAAAACUGCACAGGGUUGACAGACAGAGACCCGUAUUCCUUUUCCCUUCGAACAAUCCUCCCCGAAAAGCACUCUCACUUCAAAUUACAUUUAUAAUAUGCAAUAACGAGACGUAGCAUUUAAGCAGAAUGAGUCAGCGACGCUGUUUACGUAAGGAUUUCUCCGUUUUGUUGUCAACAUUUUCCCUUGCCUUGUUUUGUUGUAUCCAUCCAGCGACUGGAGCCGUAAAUUAAACAACAUUUCUGUCACUUGACUUGGGUAUUCAUUCAUUAAUCAGGCCUCCCCCGUCCAUAGAAAUUGAAAUUGUCGCUACACAAUAAAGCUAAAUGGCAACCCAAGAGAUAGCAAGUUGGACACAUCAGAGGCGUACUCGAGAGUUGGGUGCGAUGGAGGGAAAUGUAGGAAAAAAUCCUCCAGCCACGACACAGACCACCCACUCACAGAUGGCAACACUUUCCAUUGCGUAAAUUGCCUGGGCGCCCAUCCAAACGUGCCAUUUGAGCUCUGCCAUCGAUGAUAAAUGUUUGCUGCAUGUUGCACAAGGCUUUCCAAUCGACUAUCAAUGAUGGACUCCAAGAUACCAAGGGGCGAAGCAUGUUUGCCCUGGGGGAAAAGAACCAUAAAAGUGACUUACAAUGCCUGGAAACUUUCAGAUCUAUACAAGUUCUUGUUUUUCUGUAAUUCGGAAAAAUGCAUAAAAUAUUUAUUUCAGUUCCAAACUAACAAGCUUAUACAUUUUAAAUAUACCAAAUAUUAAUUAGGAAAUCUAAAAUGUAAGUUACUCAAUUGCUUAAAAAAUUUUAAUGUAAGAUUUGUUAACCAUUGAUUUGGCCGAAAAUUUUAGAAAGCAUUUGAUUAUUUUCUAGGUGAAAGGCUAAAUGGCUCAUAAUAAUAAAUUAUGUUUGUAAAUGUUGUGUACUACAAUAUAGACAAACAUACAAAAAAUAUUAACCACCAUUCAUUGGGCGGUUAAAGUGCCCUAAUGGCUUUUCUCUAUUUUCCUAGUCCUGCCGCAAAACGAAUUAAGCAAAUUGCUGAAUUUAUGAAUAUUUAGCUAGAGCUCUAAAUAGACCCGCAUUACGAGCAUUUUCGCUUUCACCUCACGCCUUUUGAGGUAGACACGAAAUCCCUGACCUUUGCGGUUGCCUCCGCUCUUCCCCCCCAUGUUAAUUACACAGCCCGCGAUCUCUGGAUUUUCCCGGGGCUGCCUACUACCACCUACCAUUUCCACCUUUUCCACACAAAGAGCCCCAUGGAAUUUCCUUUCUGGCAGCGACAGCUUCGUUAGCAGGUGGCUGUCAAAUUUAGGUCAGGCACUAAGUGCAAGUGAGUGUUAUGUAAAUUAUGGUGCGCUGCUUAAAAGGACCUGCAAGGUCUGCCCAUGCCACAUUCUCGUCCCAGUUUAAUUUUUAGGAGUAUUCCGCUGCUGUAUGGUGUGUAUUUGUUUGCAUUCAUCUUUUGAGCAAAUGGAAAACUAACUGAAAAUAACAGCACCACCGCCACGCCCAUUUGACAGCCCGUUAGUUAAACUAAGCGGCACUUUUUUCUUUUUCUUCAUCUUUUUAUUUGACACCCCUUUCCCCUCAACCCGUGUUUUAAUUUAACCAUUGGUACUGGCUGUUGCCAGCUGACAAAGCUGAAAUGUGUGGAUAUGGUGAGUACUUUGUUACUCUGGGGAUCCCAGAACAAAUGAUGGAGCUGACACCAACAGCAGCAGCAUGGAAGUCUUAGAAGAAGAAAUGUUAUUCUAGUUGCUGGGUAACCGCAGAUUAUAUCAUAACACAGCUGAAGCGCUCGGCAUUGCCGCCGCCCAUGCCACAUGCCAUGCCCAUCCCCCAGCCACAAAGCCCCACUUUAUGCAGCGGAUCGGCCAUUGACCAUGGCGAAGAGCUCCGCCAAAGCGAAAUGUAAAUACGGCACAAUAACAAGACGAGCUGCGUAAAAGUGCCUGAUACCCAAGUACACACAGUUGCCGUCAGAAAAAGAGAAAAAUAAUUGUAAAUCCCUUUUAAAUCCUACUGUUAGAAGGAACUUUUCUAUGAUAUUUUUAUGUUUUAGAUAUUACAAAGCAAAUUGAAUUUGGAAACAUUGUUUAGGGUUCACCACAAAUUUAAAAGUUUAUAUUAUUUUGAUCGUUAAAAGAAAUUGUGUAGGCAAUAACCUUUCAAUGUAGUUUUAAAUGUCUGUAAUAACUCUUUCAAUAUUUACAAUAUCAUAAAAUAAUUGAUAAAAUAUGUAUGAAAUUUUAAUAAAUGUACUAGAGAAAAUAUGAGAAUGGGAAUUUAAAAGAUUAGGAGUUGGGAAUAUACCCAGUGGAAAAAAGGUUGAUAGAAUAACUAUUUUUCCUACUGAGCUUUUGUUAGGUAACAAAAGUACAAACAAGUUUGGAAGCUGACAAUUGUUUUUUCUUUUGUCUGACCCCCCUAAAGACUUAAUUUUUUAAUAGUCAAAUAAGAAAAAACAUAUUAUUUUCACAGCGCUCUGAUUGUGACUCCCAUUGUAUUUAUUUAUAGCACAAGCCCCAGCACUUUUUCCCCUUUUCCACAAAACAUAACGCACAGGAAGAGAAGGCGCACACACGAGUCAACAAUCUCAUAAUCAGUUGAAUUUCAAGAGGCAAAGCCAGCACAUGGGCAAAUACAGUGAAUACAGAGGGGGGGCGACUUGUCUCGAUGGCAAUUUCACUUAAUGAGUGGGGCCUGUGGGGCAGACAACCGAUAGACACAUAGGCUGCACAACUUGCAACAAUUUAACAUGCCAAUAAAACGCAAUAACCAAAUUUAUCUGAUUCUGGAGCAAGGGCCAAAAGGGCAAAUUACUUUAUGGGCGUGGCAUGGAGAGCGUGACGCAACAUGGGCUUAUAAUCAUGAUCGUCAAACAAAAGGCAGGAAACUGCCUGCCCGGCUUACAAUUGCUGACCCAUUUCAGAGUUGAGGUGAGUUGAUGUGAACCGAGCCGACCAAAAAUUGUUUGGCCAAUGCAAUGAAUUAAUUAUUUCCCCUCGUCAUGUGCAGUACCUUUGCCUCUUGGGUGCGUCCAGCAUUUGUGCUAAAAAUAUCAAACUACACACA